GAUGAACGCUAGCUACAGGCUUAACACAUGCAAGUCGAGGGGCAGCAUUUUAGUUUGCUUGCAAACUAAAGAUGGCGACCGGCGCACGGGUGAGUAACACGUAUCCAACCUGCCGAUAACUCGGGGAUAGCCUUUCGAAAGAAAGAUUAAUAUCCGAUAGUAUAUUAAAACCGCAUGGUUUUACUAUUAAAGAAUUUCGGUUAUCGAUGGGGAUGCGUUCCAUUAGUUUGUUGGCGGGGUAACGGCCCACCAAGACUACGAUGGAUAGGGGUUCUGAGAGGAAGGUCCCCCACAUUGGAACUGAGACACGGUCCAAACUCCUACGGGAGGCAGCAGUGAGGAAUAUUGGUCAAUGGACGAGAGUCUGAACCAGCCAUGCCGCGUGCAGGAAGACGGCUCUAUGAGUUGUAAAACUGCUUUUUGUACUAGGGUAAACGCUUCUACGUGUAGGAGCCUGAAAGUAUAGUACGAAUAAGGAUCGGCUAACUCCGUGCCAAGCAGCCGCAGUAAC
Molecule: ribosomal RNA, 511 nt
Filed under: uncultured bacterium
Lineage: Bacteria
Description: bacterial SSU rRNA
Rfam family: Bacterial small subunit ribosomal RNA
Source: RNAcentral